This 254-nucleotide ribosomal RNA is filed under the name uncultured bacterium. RNAcentral describes it as "partial 16S ribosomal RNA". It matches the Rfam family "Bacterial small subunit ribosomal RNA", at positions 524 to 776 of the family's 1533-position model. The record is from RNAcentral.
UACGGGGGGGGCAAGCGUUGUUCGGAAUUACUGGGCGUAAAGGGCUCGUAGGCGGCCAACUAAGUCAGACGUGAAAUCCCUCGGCUUAACCGGGGAACUGCGUCUGAUACUGGAUGGCUUGAGGUUGGGAGAGGGAUGCGGAAUUCCAGGUGUAGCGGUGAAAUGCGUAGAUAUCUGGAGGAACACCGGUGGCGAAGGCGACAUCCUGGACCAACACUGACGCUGAGUGAGCGAAAGCCAGGGGAGCAAACGGG